UACAGGGGGUGCAAACGUUGCUCGGAAUUAUUGGGCGUAAAGCGCGCGUAGGCGGCUACUUAAGUCGGAUGUGAAAGCCCUUGGCUCAACUGAGGAAGUGCACCCGAAACUGAGUGGCUUGAGUACUAAAGAGGGUCGCGGAAUUCCAGGUGUAGCGGUGAAAUGCGUAGAUAUCUGGAGGAACACCGGUGGCGAAGGCGGCAUCCUGGACCGACACUGACACUGAGGAGCGAAAGCCAGGGGAGCAAACGGG
This 253-nucleotide ribosomal RNA is filed under the name uncultured bacterium. RNAcentral's name for it is "partial 16S ribosomal RNA". It matches the Rfam family "Bacterial small subunit ribosomal RNA", at positions 524 to 776 of the family's 1533-position model. The record is from RNAcentral.